RNAcentral lists this ribosomal RNA (469 nucleotides) under uncultured bacterium. Its description in RNAcentral is "bacterial SSU rRNA". It matches the Rfam family "Bacterial small subunit ribosomal RNA", at positions 28 to 507 of the family's 1533-position model. The record is from RNAcentral.
GAUGAACGCUGGCGGCGUGCUUAACACAUGCAAGUCGAACGAAGAUGCCGGAGUGCUUGCACUUUGGCAGACUGAGUGGCGGACGGGUGAGUAACGCGUGGGUAACCUGCCUUAUACAGGGGGAUAACAGUUGGAACGACUGCUAAUACCGCAUAAGCGCACGGUAUCGCAUGAUACAGUGUGAAAAACUCCGGUGGUAUAAGAUGGACCCGCGUCUGAUUAGCUAGUUGGUGAGGUAACGGCCCACCAAGGCGACGAUCAGUAGCCGGCCUGAGAGGGUGAACGGCCACAUUGGGACUGAGACACGGCCCAAACUCCUACGGGAGGCAGCAGUGGGGAAUAUUGCACAAUGGGGGGAAACCCUGAUGCAGCGACGCCGCGUGAGUGAUGAAGUAUUUCGGUAUGUAAAACUCUAUCAGCAGGGAAGAUAAUGACGGUACCUGACUAAGAAGCACCGGCUAAAUACGUG